Dromaius novaehollandiae (emu) is the source of this 776-nucleotide long non-coding RNA. RefSeq lists it as uncharacterized. The record is from RefSeq and is a predicted model, not a curated record. The transcript is spliced from 2 exons. Lineage: Eukaryota; Metazoa; Chordata; Aves; Casuariiformes; Dromaiidae.
GGAGCGGAGCCGCUCGCGCGGCGGGGAAGCGGGGCUGCCCUGCCCAGAGCGGGUCCCCCAGCGCGGCUGGCUGCCGGCGAGGGCGGCCCAGGCAGCGGGAGGCGGCGGCUGCUCGCGCACCGCGGACGCCAGGCCGGAGCACCUGAAGCGCCGCUCCCGGCCGCCCGGGGCAGCCCCGCUGCCCGGGGGCGCUCGCACCGGCCGGGGAAGGCGCCGGCCGCCAGGUGCCGCGGGCAGGCCGGGAAGGCGGCGGGGCGCCCGGGCGCGGAAGGGGACGGCGUUACCUGCGGCAGCGGCAGAAGGUUGCAAUUCGUUACAGAGGUACACCGGUGUGCUUGUUCUGCGCAAUUACAAACCUCACAACGUCACAAAAUGAACAAUAUGGCACCUUUGAGCAUACAGCGUCAGGAGUAUUCACAACGUGUAGCGUUUUCAAAGAACUGUGCGACCCUUUCACUCCCUAAGCUGUUAAAAUUCAUGAACUGGAUGUUUUGUCCAUUUGUAACGUGACAAAAAUUAAUUACCGAGGAGGCUGAAUAGCUCGCUCCAGGCCGCGCGGCACGGCAUGGGCGAGCCAUGAGCUGCGCUGCCCCGGCACAGUGCUCCGUCUGUUCUGUGUCUCUUUGGGCUUGGCUGUAGAGAAAUGUGACAAAUAACAAUAUUUAUUAUCUGAUCCUGACCUAGCAAGCAGAAGCGUGCUGCAUCACUGGGAAAUUGGCACCAGACUCUGAAAGAUGUAAUCGCCAAUUCUGGUAAAAAAUAAAUAAAGAAGCAGA